Molecule: ribosomal RNA, 497 nt
Filed under: uncultured bacterium
Lineage: Bacteria
Description: partial 16S ribosomal RNA
Rfam family: Bacterial small subunit ribosomal RNA
Source: RNAcentral
GACGAACGCUGGCGGCGUGCCUAAUACAUGCAAGUUGAGCGCUGAAGGUUGGUACUUGUACCGACUGGAUGAGCAGCGAACGGGUGAGUAACGCGUGUGGAAUCUGCCUUUGAGCGGGGGACAACAUUUGGAAACGAAUGCUAAUACCGCAUAAAAACUUUAAACACAAGUUUUAAGUUUGAAAGAUGCAAUUGCAUCACUCAAAGAUGAUCCCGCGUUGUAUUAGCUAGUUGGUGAGGUAAAGGCUCACCAAGGCGAUGAUACAUAGCCGACCUGAGAGGGUGAGCGGCCACACUGGGAAUGAGACACGGCCCAAACUGCUACGGGAGGCAGCAGGAGGGAAGCGUAGGGAAGGGACGAAAGUCGGAACGAGAAAGGCCGCGGGAGGGAAGAAGGGUGUCGGAUCGGAAAACUCGGUUGGUAGAGAAGAAAGUUGGUGAGAGUGGAAAGCUCAUCAAGUGACGGUAACUACUAAGAAAGGGACGGCUAACUACGUG